This 253-nucleotide ribosomal RNA is filed under the name uncultured bacterium. RNAcentral's name for it is "partial 16S ribosomal RNA". It matches the Rfam family "Bacterial small subunit ribosomal RNA", at positions 524 to 776 of the family's 1533-position model. The record is from RNAcentral.
GACAGAGGUGCCGAGCGUUAGGCGGAAUCACUGGGCUUAAAGCGUGUGUAGGCGGACUUCUAAGUACCUUGUGAAAUCCCACGGCUUAACCGUGGAACUGCUUGGUAUACUGGUUGUCUUGGGCCAUCUAGGGGCUACUGGAACAAACGGUGGAGCGGUGAAAUGCGUAGAUAUCGUUUGGAACGCCAAUGGUGAAAACAAGUAGCUGGGGAUGUGCCGACGCUGAGACACGAAAGCCAGGGGAGCGAAUGGG